This 369-nucleotide ribosomal RNA is filed under the name uncultured phototrophic eukaryote. RNAcentral describes it as "SSU rRNA". It matches the Rfam family "Bacterial small subunit ribosomal RNA", at positions 524 to 896 of the family's 1533-position model. The record is from RNAcentral.
UACGGGGGAUGCAAGCGUUAUCCGGAAUCAUUGGGCGCAAAGCGCCUGUAGGUUGUUUAAUAAGUCUGUUGUUAAAGACUAGGGCUUAACCCUAGGAAAGCAAUGGAAACUACUAGACUUGAGUAUGAUAGGGGUAGAGGGAAUUUCUAGUGUAGCGGUGAAAUGCGUAGAUAUUAGAAAGAACACCGGUGGCGAAAGCGCUCUACUGGACCAUUACUGACACUCAGAGGCGAAAGCUAGGGUAGCAAAAGGGAUUAGAUACCCCUGUAGUCCUAGCCGUAAACGAUGGAUACUAGAUGUUGUAUGUUAUUUACAGUAUCGUAGCUAACGCGUUAAGUAUCCCGCCUGGGGAGUACGCUCGCAAGGGUG